Molecule: ribosomal RNA, 253 nt
Filed under: uncultured bacterium
Lineage: Bacteria
Description: partial 16S ribosomal RNA
Rfam family: Bacterial small subunit ribosomal RNA
Source: RNAcentral
GACGUAGGGCGCGAGCGUUGUCCGGAUUUAUUGGGCGUAAAGAGCUCGUAGGCGGCUUGUCGCGUCGAAUGUGAAAACCCGAGGCUCAACCUCGGGCCUGCAGUGGGUACGGGCAGACUAGAGUGCGGUAGGGGAGAUUGGAAUUCCUGGUGUAGCGGUGAAAUGCGUAGAUAUCAGGAGGAACACCUGUGGUGUAGACAGCUUACUGGACCAUUUCUGACGCUGAGACACGAAAGCGUGGGUAGCAAACAGG